CAGCCGCCACGGGAAUACGGAGGGUGCAAGCGUUAAUCGGAAUUACUGGGCGUAAAGCGUGCGUAGGCGGUUCGUUAAGUCUGUUGUGAAAGCCCCGGGCUCAACCUGGGAAUGGCAAUGGAUACUGGCGAGCUAGAGUGUGUCAGAGGAUGGUGGAGUUCCCGGUGUAGCGGUGAAAUGCGUAGAGAUCGGGAGGAACAUCAGUGGCGAAGGCGGCCAUCUGGGACAACACUGACGCUGAGGCACGAAAGCGUGGGGAGCAAACAGGAUUAGAUACCCGCGUAGUCCCUGUCUCUUAUAC
RNAcentral lists this ribosomal RNA (301 nucleotides) under uncultured bacterium. RNAcentral's name for it is "partial 16S ribosomal RNA". It matches the Rfam family "Bacterial small subunit ribosomal RNA", at positions 509 to 807 of the family's 1533-position model. The record is from RNAcentral.